Long non-coding RNA from Oncorhynchus kisutch (coho salmon), 2788 nucleotides. RefSeq lists it as uncharacterized. The transcript is spliced from 2 exons. Lineage: Eukaryota; Metazoa; Chordata; Actinopteri; Salmoniformes; Salmonidae. The record is from RefSeq and is a predicted model, not a curated record.
GGGCCCUGUUCAAAGUAGUGCACUAUAUAGGGAAUAGGGUGCCAUAGGGCCCUGUUCAAAGUAGUGCACUAUAUAGGGAAUAGGGUGCCAUUUGGGAGGCAUGCGGUCUUUUUCUCCAUGGAGGGUUUACUGUUGAAACCAUCAUCUAGUCCCUUUAGUCAAAAACCUUUAAAGAUAUAGGUUAUCCCAUGGUAAUAAUAAUGAUACUGGUACAGAUGUUGUUUUUAUAGAUAUAGGUUAUCCCAUGGUAAUAAUAAUGAUACUGGUACAGAUGUUGUUUUUAUAGAUAUAGGUUAUCCCAUGGUAAUAAUAAUGAUACUGGUACAGAUGUUGUUUUUAUAGAAAUUACAGUAUAUCUAUUGAUAUAGUUGCUGACUUUUAUAUUAUGGGAGAGAUUAAAAAAAUAUUUAAAAAAUGUCUAUAUUUACCUUCUCUAUUUUACCUUCUGUGUUUCGUUUGUUUUUUUCUCUCCAGAAAUUACAAGACUAUGAUUAUUUGUACCCGAUGAAAACUGAACAAACAAAAAAUAUAUAUAUAUAAAUAUAUAAACCAACAAUGUAUUAAUGGAGACGUUUGAGCUGUGCAACGAAGGUGUUCUCUUAAAACACAAAAUACACAACUGUCAUGUUUUAGUUGUAGGCUACAACACCAACGGUUUGGGAAAAAAGCUUUUCUGGUUGUCUUUAUGGAGUCGUCAUAUCCAGAUGGAUCAUGACACACUACAAGUAAUGCAAUCAUAAUGUACAUACUAUCAUGGUAUUUUUUUGGGGGGGGUCGGCUGUACUAUCUUACCGACAGACACACAGCCUGUACACGGUCUUCACUACUACUAGGCUGUAGAACAUGUCAGUGUCCUGUACGCUGCUGAUGUUUGUUAGACUUUUUAUGUUUACAUUGACUUGUCUUUCAUUUGGGUUUUGAUAUCAUUUGUAAUGUGACCUCCUUUGUAAUGUUAUUUUCUAGAACUCAGCCUUUACCACUUUGAAAAAAAAAAACGGUUUGAUUAAUUAGAAAUAUAUAUGACUUGGGAAAAAAAAAAAGAUGACGUUUAUGUAAAUAUGAAAAAUGAAGCUGUUGUUGAUUUAAAGUGCUCCAGGGGCGGCGAGAGGAAACGCCCAGUUCACCUCACGUAGCUAAAUACUUCCUUACACCCCUCUUUUCUUCCUGAUAUCCUCCCUCCCUCCUUUCCUCCCACCCUCCCUCCUUUCCUCCCUCCUUUCCUCCCUCUUUUCCUCCCUACUUUCCUCCCUACUUUCCUCCCUACUUUCACUCCCCUCCCUCCUUUCCUCCCUCCUUCCCCCCCCCCUCCCUCCUUUCCUCCCCCUCCCUCCCUCCCCAUCCCUCCCUCCUUUCCUCCCUCCUUUCCUCCCCCCUCCCUCCCCCCUCCCUCCCUCCUUUCCUCCCCCUCCCUCCCUCCCCAUCCCUCCCUCCUUUCCUCCCUCCUUUCCUCCCCCCUCCCUCCCCCCUCCCUCCCUCCUUUCCUCCUUUCCUUCCCUCCCUCCUUCCUCUCUCCUUUCCUCCCUCCUUUCCUCCCCCCUCCCUCCUUUCCUCCCCCCUCCCUCUCUCCUUUCCUCCCUCCUAUCCUCCCUCCUUUCCUCCCUCCUUUCCUCCCUCCUUUCCUCCUCCUUCCCUCCCUCCCUCCCCCCUCCCUCCCUCCUUUCCUCCCUCCUAUCCUCCCUCCUUUCCUCCCUCCUUUCUUCCUACACCUUGUUUACAUAUGAACCUGAUCAGAGGUGUUUGUCUCCGUUUUGUAUUUAUAAGAAGAAUAACAAAUAUUCAGAAAUGCAAAAGGCAGUGGCAUCUGCAGGUUGUGGGGUUUAGCACCAUCCUGCAGGUUGUGGGGUUUAGCACCAUCCUGCAGGUUCUGGGGUUUAGCACCAUCCUGCAGGUUCUGGGGUUUAGCACCAUCCUGCAGGUUCUGGGGUUUAGCACCAUCCUGCAGGUUCUGGGGUUUAGCACCAUCCUGCAGGUUGUGGGGUUUAGCACCAUCCUGCAGGUUGUGGGGUUUAGCACCAUCCUGCAGGUUCUGGGGUUUAGCACCAUCCUGCAGGUUGUGGGGUUUAGCACCAUCCUGCAGGUUCUGGGGUUUAGCACCAUCCUGCAGGUUCUGGGGUUAAGUCCCAUCCUGUUGGCAGGUUGUGGGGUUUAGCACCAUCCUGCAGGUUCUGGGGGUUAAGUCCCAUCCUGUUGGCAGGUUGUGGGGUUUAGCACCAUACUGCAGGUUCUGGGGUUAAGUCCCAUUCUGUCUGCAGGUUGUGGGGUUUAGCACCAUACUGCAGGUUCUGGGGAUAAGUCCCAUCCUGUUGGCAAGUUGUGGGAUUUAGCACCAUACUGCAGGUUCUGGGGAUAAGUCCCAUUCUGUUGGCAGGUUGUGGGGUUUAGCCCCAUCCUGCAGAUUCUGGGGGUUAAGUCCCAUUCUGUCUGCAGGUUAUGGGAUUUAGCACCAUCCUGCAGGUUCUGGGGGUUAAGCCCCAUCCUGUUGGCAGGUUGUGGGGUUUAGCACCAUCCUGCAGGUUCUGGGGGUUAAGCCCCAUCCUGUUGGCAGGUUGUGGGGUUUAGCACCAUCCUGCAGGUUCUGGGGGUUAAGACCCUGCCCUGUGUUUGCUGAACCAUCAGUGGGCAUGGCAACACGUAUCCUGGCUACACCACCGCGUGUCUCUUUCCCUACCCUCUACAUCCUCUGCUUCCAUAGGUGUUGUGAUGAGAUACCCCCUCCCCUGUCCUUGUAUGUGCAUGCACUAUGGUUCUUCCACUUAACAAUAACAAUCAAUAAAGUUUGUCAAGAUAA